CCCAUCCCCCAGCCCAGUCUGGGCAGAGGUCACCCUGGUCCUGGGUCCUUUCCUGCUCUUCCCACCUCCUGCAGGACCCAGAGCAGGUGGAGCACACAGUCGGAGCUCAGUACAUGCUGCUGACCGUGAAGAACUACUACUGCCCGGGGCCAGCUCCAGCCCCUCUGGGCUUCGGCGCCACAUCCCCCAGGGGGCAGGCUGCGUGCUCCCCCUGAGUGGGCUGCGGGAGGUACCCCACCAGCAGCCGGGAUCGGGUGGUCCUCCCGGAGGGGCUGGGAGGGGACUGCAGGGCCCCUUGGGUGAGGUAGGCGGUGGUCUCCUGACCAGCACCCGUGGGUCUGGGCACAGCGCACAGCAGAGAGGCUGCAAGUCAUUGUCCCCGUCUGAACCACGGAGGAGGACAGUCCUCAGCCGGUGGGGGCCGCGCGUUAGCCUUAUUGAGGU
This 444-nucleotide long non-coding RNA is filed under the name Marmota monax (woodchuck). The record is from RNAcentral. Lineage: Eukaryota; Metazoa; Chordata; Mammalia; Rodentia; Sciuridae.